GGGGACAUCGGAACGCGAAAGGAUUUAGUAUAUCGGUUUUAUGUUUUGCUUUUGAAUCCGCGAACUCUCAUUGCACCAACAGGUACGAGUGUCUGCGUUUUGAGAAAAUUAUUGGCUCUUCUUAUCUUUUGUUUGGCUGUUGAGAAAAUUGUGGAAAGAAAUUUGAUUUUAAAUGCCUAUUUUUGAUUGGUCUAUAAAUAAAUCUUAUCCUUUUUUAUAUACAUUUUUCAUGUGUGAUUUUGAAGAAAUAACUAAAUUGCUUUCGGAUUUUAAACUGCAAAUGUUUGCCGAAAAAGUUUGUGUGAAAAAAGUAAACUUUGAAACUGGUUGUUCUGCAUGACCUUCUAUGAGAAUCAAAGACAAUAAUGUUCUGCUAUUCAUGAUUUGAGAGAUGUCGUCACAAGAAGUGUUAUAGGACUAUUAUUCUGUAAUUAUUUCUUUAAAUCAACCAAAUGAAGGUUAAGACUUUUUCUCAUUCAAUUUCAGUACUUUGGACAAUUUAAAAGCUCCUUUUUGAAGCCGAAGCAUAUAAUUAGAGUGGAAAAGAAGAAGGUUCAUGUCGCCAAGAUCAGACAUGGGAAAGGGAAACAAAGCUAAACAAACAAGAAGAAUAAAGAAGUAAAAGGUUCAAGACAACUUUCAGAUUUAUCUGUUAAACUUUAGGUAUCAUGAGGAGGUAAAGUGAUGCAAAAAUUCCAGGAACCUCUGCUGCAUAUAUAUUCAGUAUGUGAUAUCAAUGUUCAUCAUUUUCAACGUGAAACUUUUAUUUUUAACUCUUGAAUUAUAGCUCAAAUACUUUGUAAUGUCUAUGUGAUAUUUAAAAUGUACAAAUUAACCAAGGAUACAGGUGCAACGCACGUGUCCAGAAACUAGUUAUUGGAAUUGCAC
RNAcentral lists this long non-coding RNA (888 nucleotides) under Nicotiana tabacum (common tobacco). Its description in RNAcentral is "long non-coding RNA (NTAB_LNC011235)". The record is from RNAcentral. Lineage: Eukaryota; Viridiplantae; Streptophyta; Magnoliopsida; Solanales; Solanaceae.